UUCCCAGACUCCUACGGGAGGCAGCAGUGGGGAAUAUUGCACAAUGGGGGAAACCCUGAUGCAGCGACGCCGCGUGAGCGAUGAAGUAUCUCGGUAUGUAAAGCUCUAUCAGCAGGGAAGAAAGUGACAGUACCUGACUAAGAAGCCCCGGCUAACUACGUGCCAGCAGCCGCGGUAAUACGUAGGGGGCAAGCGUUAUCCGGAUUCACUGGGCGUAAAGGGAGCGCAGGCGGCACGGCAAGUCUGGUGUGAAAACCCGGGGCUCAACCCCGGGACUGCAUUGGAAACUGCCGGGCUGGAGUGUCGGAGGGGUAAGCGGAAUUCCUAGUGUAGCGGUGAAAUGCGUAGAUAUUAGGAGGAACACCAGUGGCGAAGGCGGCUUACUGGACGAUGACUGACGCUGAGGCUCGAAAGCGUGGGGAGCAAACAGGAUUAGAUACCCGGGUA
This 447-nucleotide ribosomal RNA is filed under the name uncultured bacterium. Its description in RNAcentral is "bacterial SSU rRNA". It matches the Rfam family "Bacterial small subunit ribosomal RNA", at positions 328 to 792 of the family's 1533-position model. The record is from RNAcentral.